This 400-nucleotide ribosomal RNA is filed under the name uncultured bacterium. RNAcentral describes it as "bacterial SSU rRNA". It matches the Rfam family "Bacterial small subunit ribosomal RNA", at positions 30 to 430 of the family's 1533-position model. The record is from RNAcentral.
AUUGAACGCUGGCGGCAUGCCUUACACAUGCAAGUCGAACGGCAGCACGGGAGCAAUCCUGGUGGCGAGUGGCGAACGGGUGAGUAAUAUAUCGGAACGUGCCCGGUCGUGGGGAUAACGUAGCGAAAGCUACGCUAAUACCGCAUACGAUCUACGGAUGAAAGCGGGGGAUCGCAAGACCUCGCGCGAUUGGAGCGGCCGAUAUCAGAUUAGGUAGUUGGUGAGGUAAAGGCUCACCAAGCCGACGAUCUGUAGCUGGUCUGAGAGGACGACCAGCCACACUGGGACUGAGACACGGCCCAGACUCCUACGGGAGGCAGCAGUGGGGAAUUUUGGACAAUGGGCGCAAGCCUGAUCCAGCAAUGCCGCGUGCAGGAUGAAGGCCUUCGGGUUGGUAAAC